UAGUUGAAGCAAUUGGAAGUUGGGGAGUUUAGUUGUAAGGAAUGCUAACUUCAAGCAUUGUAUGUAAAUUUUUCCCACCAAAUGAAUUUGAUGAAGACACAUCAUAACACCCCACCUCUUCAAUAUUUAUCUAGCAAAAUAAGAUUAGAAAGAGGGAAAAAUAAAUGAAACCCCAACUCUUCUCCAUGAAGCUCCAUCACCGCCAUCAUCAUCUCUUCCUCUCCUUGUGCGCGGUGGACGACGGCGGCCAUAACUCAACGAUCCGACAACCGUUUUCGAUGGUUCAAGCUCGGUUGGAAAGCCAACACAUAGAGGAAUAUGACUCGGCGAGGCGACUACCAACGGAACACGGUACUUAAAGAACGCGAUAUGACCUUAGCUUUUGGAUAGAAAACUUGUUAUGUUUCAGGUGUAUAGUAUCGAAUGUAACGGACUUCUAUCCUUGUUCCAGAAGUUCGCGAGUACAGAAAGAAGGAACCAAUCAGUAGUGCUGCAGUAGUCGAGUUCUAGAGUGUAAUUAUGUUUUGUCAAACGGUUUUAAAUGUUUUGUUUAUACUCUGAUAUGUAUAAAGGCUUUAGACUGUGCUUUUAAACCGUUUACAUAUAUGUGAGAAACAGGGCUUUGCUUGAUAUGAGAUAUCGUUUUGUAAGACCCUGAUUUCUAAAGAUCGUCUUGUAUCGUUUAAAGAAGUUUUAUAAAAAAAAACAUUUUGAGAAUGUUUCGCGAAAAAAAUUUAUAGUGAUUUCUAGGCUUGCUACGGGUUUCGGAGCUACCACUCCCAUUCCCUAGCGCCGGUCGCGGCCCUCGAUUUUGGGUCGUGACAGAUAUGCAAGACCCGAGUAGGUCGGUAUUAAGAAUUCUACUACAGAAAGUUUGAUAUUAGAAUUCAUAGAUGUUUGUAUUUGAAAAUGUUUGAUAUGAGCUCAAUAUACGCUAAUCAUGUUUGGGUAUCGGAAAGGAGGAUUAUAAUUUUUGUUAGAUACGUGAGUAACUCGGUUGAACUAUCUUGGGACCCGUAUCUAGUGAGUAACUCGGUUGAACUAUCUCGGGACUCACACCUUGGGGUUAAGCAGUGACAUGAUGUAACUCGGUUGAACUAUCUCGGGACCGAACCACUUGGAUUAAAAUGAUUUGAUAUAAUAUUAAUGGAUACAAUAUGAGUAGGAUACAGAUAGGAAAUAGUAUGAAUUUAAGAUUAUGGUUUCAUCGGAUCAAAUAUUGUUGUUUGUUUUAAUAUAUGUUUAUGCAAUUUAUAUUUAUAAUAUCUUAAGUAAAUGCGAACUCACUCAGCGUUGUCUGACCCCCCAAUAGUGUUAUGUUUCAGGUGUAUAGUUUCGAAUGUAACGGACUUCUAUCCUUGUUCCAUAAGUCCGCGAGUACAGAAAGAAGGAACCAAUCAGUAGUGCUGCAGUAGUCGAGUCCUAGAGUGUAAUUAUGUUUUGUCAAACGGUUUUAAAUGUUUUGUUUAUACUCUGAUAUGUAUAAAGGCUUUAGACUGCGCUUUUAAACCGUUUACAUAUAUGUGAGAAACAGGGCAUUGCUUGAUAUGAGAUAUCUCUUUGUAAGACCCUGAUUUCUAAAGAUCGUCUUGUAUCGUUUAAAGAAGUUUUAUAAAAAAAAACAUUUUGAGAAUGUUUCGCGAAAAAAAAUUAUAGUGAUUUCUAGGCUUGCUACGGGUUUCGGAGCUACCACUCCCAUUCCCUAGCGCCGGUCGCGGCCCUCGAUUUUGGGUCGUGACAAAGGUGGUAUCAGAGCAAUGGUUAGAUUCAUAGGUCAUUGCUUAUAGGUGAUCAUCUAUACCUAGGUUUGACAUUGUCACUAGGUUAAGAUAGGAACUACUGCAGCUAUAGGAUUCGAGUCAUGUCAUUGAUAAGUUCUUGUUUGUUUUCAAAUCUUCUAACUCUCCUUGAUAGGAUGCGAGUCCAUAUGAUCGAUUGCUUUUUCAAACGUUGUUUUUUUAAAUAGAAUAUGUGUAUGCGAUAAGGACGCGUGUUUCAUUUAUGAUAGAGUAUGCAUACGCAAUGUGAAUACGGAGAAGGACAUGUGACAAAUGGACUCUCACAAGCAUGUAUGGGCAAGAGGAGGCUCAGCCAUAUGUAUUGGUCCUCGUAUGCCUUGUCCUAUCACAUUUCUUUUAGUAGCUAUGGUUUGGCCAAUAAGGCAAGCCAUUAUGGCAUAGAUGUAUCGUAUCAGAUAUAGAUUGUUAUCGAAUAGACGAUGCACUAGGAAGAAUGAGAACCUAGGUGCAUAACCUAAGAUAUUCCUUUAGGAAGGAAAUAAAACGUAGAGAACAUACAUUGAAAGAGUUCGACAUACUCUACAAAAUGUCAAAUAUGCACAAAUAACCUUAGCUAUGCCCUGAACAUAGCUUGAUAGUAUGUGAUAGAAAGAUAGAGAACGAGAAUAAAAUACACCAAUAAGACAGAUAAAAAGCCAUAUAAAGAAAAGUUAAAAUGUCACAGAAGUUCCGAUCUGAGUUGACUUAUGGUGUUUACAAAAGAAAUAAAGUUUUAAGAUUUACUUUAAAAGUAUAAUUGUGCACAGACCCAACAUGUAGUAUGCCAUAGGAAGCAUGAAAGACAUGAUUGAAAACACAUUGCAGUAUCAGCAUAUAUGUAUAAAUAUUUUGAUAUAAAACCAUAAUUUUACUCUGCAUCAUGCAUUCACUGAUACGAGCAAUUCAAAGAAUUUUAAAUAGCAACUCUUUAGUGAUGAGAGGUGUCAUCACUCUGAUGCGCAAUUAUACUAAAGGUUUUGAAACUAUAUGAUUGAAAUUGUAUUUGAUUUGAAAAGAAAUUGUUUUGAAAGUCCCGCGGGCAAAGUCAAAUUGAUUUGAAACGUAAGAAAACCAGAUGGAAUUUCCUGUGACACCAAUAUAUAAACUUUAAUAAAGAGCAAUAACAAAUAUAAAAGAUUGUACAAAGAUAGUUUAAUGGUGAACAUAGUUCACACCUCAUAGGUAGAACCUAUGAAAGUAAGAAUCGUAUAAGGCAAGUAAGCCACCUCAAGAGUAAGAGGUGCAGUGAUGAUCAAAAAUAACGACAUCGGGAUAUAUGAUCGAUAUGGAUAAUAAACACGAUGGUGUGAACUCAUGGUACGCGAGUAUAUAAGCUCUAAAGGAAAACAAGGAUAUAUACCGAUAAAUCUUAGAGGAAGCAAAUAAAGAAAGAAGUCUUUAAGGCUAGUAAGCUAUAUAGGCAUCAAGGGAUGUAAGGAAAUAGGAAGGAAGGACUCAACAAAGGGGUUGAGCUAUAACACGAAGAUGUUAUCGGACAGCUCGAAACAAAAGGCAAUAAAAAAGGACACCCAUAAAAGCUUGAACUAAGAUACCUACAAAGAGCCAUUCAAGUGUAAGGAUGUAUAAGAAUUAAAAAAUAAUGGACGAAGAAUAUGAAGAGAUCGAUUAAGUUAAUCGACAUAGAUAAGACUUAAACAACCUACGUAUAUUGUGUGACACUCGAUAAAGGUAAUCGAGGGAUGGAAUUAAAGACGUUAUAUAGAAAAUAACAAGAAGAUAAAAGGAAUCGACUUCUAUGUAGUCAUAGACACACGGUGUCAAGAAGGAUAGAGCUGAUCUAAGUAUAAGAUCAACCUUACUAGUAGAUGAGAUGUCGGUAGGAAGAUGAGAAUUAGAUAUGCACAAGACCAAGGGUACAACCUGUCGAUGAACACAAAAGAGUAACCUCCAACUCUUAUAGAUAGUAGAGGUGGGAGAUAUUAAAGAAAGAAGUACACGAUGAUCGCAAAACGUAUUAGACGAUCGCGAGGUAUAAUAAGACAAAGAUAAGAACUUCACCGGACGAUGGUAAAAUAUUACAAGUCCUAAAUUCACUAAGAUUGAAGGAUCUAGAGCUACGAUAUAUCGUGGAUAAGGACUCGAUUCAUAUCGAGUAAUGCCAGGCGGGCAUUCCACUUCAUGAGAUUCAUGAAACUAUGAAGUGCAUGAUUAUUAGUGAAGGAAAAGAAAUUCCUAACCACCAUAAGACAUGAAUAAGAGUGUUGGACGAAAGGCCGUAUAAAUCGAACUAUAAAGACAAUAGUUAGUAAAUGAAUAUUAAGGGGUAUCGCAACAGAAGAGAAAGAGGAGAAGGUAAACAUGUACGUGAUUAAAUACAUGGAGGAAAGAAAUGCCAAGAAAGACGACGUCGGAUGUCGAUAAGCUCAAAAGUUAAUAAGAAGCGGGAAUGGAACAGAAGCUCAUUAAAGAAUAGUACAACUUAAUGAAUAAGAGCUAGGACUAAAAUUAAGGUCUUGAGAAACAAGCGAAAGAGAAUCGAUAGUACUAUUAUGGAAUGAUAGUUUUUGACGAAUAUUGAGAGAAGCAAAGCACUAAAGGAUAUGAGACAAGAAAAGACUUUAGUUCGGGAUAAGGAAUAGACGUUAAGUAACAAUACAUCAUAAAAUAAGAAAUAUAUGGAAGAAUGAGCUUCGAGAUGAGGUAAAGGAUGUUGUGAACUAUACGAAUACCAGUUUCGUUCAGUGAAGAAACGCUUCUGAAUAAGCAAUUUGGACAGCCAAAUUAAGCUAGAUAAGCAAGAUUUUGGACAAGUUUAAGAUAACUUGAAAUAGUAAGUCACUCAAUUGGAUUGGUUAAUUAAUCAAAUAGUGCUUUAAUUAAUACUAAGAAUAGUUGAAGAAAAGUUCAAAAUUGAAAGUCAAAGUUGAUAUCAACAAGAAAAGUCCAAAAUUGGCAUUAAGAACGAUACUACCCUUAUGGUAUUAAGGAGCAAACGACAAAUAAAGAUUGACGAAUACCAACGUUAAGAAGUGAAAAGAUGUGAACCUAUCAAGGCAAGAAGUUGAUAGACGAUGAGAUUAACAUCUCAAUGAGAAUUGUAUAAGGAGCAGCUACGUGCGAACGAAGGACGUUCGUGAAGAGAUUAGUCAUCUCUUUUAUAACAGACAUUAAGCAUCACCAUACGAUUAAGUAUGAUACAGAAGGACGUAAGGACAAGACCAACUAUCUUUAAGGAUGUUAGCAAUUAUCGUAAAAUAAAUCAAACACUUGAUAAUAAAGACGAGUAACUAGAAAACCGUCAAGAAAUGACGAUGUAAGAAACUUUAAGGAACACAAUGGAUUACAAAGGCGAAGUUAUUAUAACUUUAUGAUCUGGGUAACGAUAGUAUAAAAAGUAAGACUUUAAGUCUUUAUAAGAAGCAAUAAGAAUUGCUAAGAAGUGUAAUACUAGAUGGAUAAGAGUAUUACUAUAAUUAUGAAAAUUCGAGGACGAAUUUUUAUAAGGGGGGAAGAAUGUAAUACCCCGUAUUUUUAAAGUACCAAGUAAUGUGCCACGAAGCAUAAGUACGAGAACUUAAUCAAGGACAUCGGAAUUAAGUUCGAGAAAUAAGAAUUUAGAUCGAAGCGGGUCUAUUAAAAUUAUCGUGAAAUAAUAAAUUAAGUGGAAUUUAUUAUUUGAUAAAUUGGAAUUUAGCGGGACUAAGAAAAAUAAAUAAAUUAAAAUAAAAUAAAUGGUAAGUCCCGAGUUAAUUUUACGAUAAAAUUCGUAAAAUAAAUUUAUGGAUCAAAGAUUAAAUUUUAUUGAAAUUGGACGAAAGGACUUUAAUUAAACGGGAUUCGAUUAUCGGCAAAGGAAAAGGAUAUAAAUAAAUUAUUUGGACCCGGAUAAAUAAAUAAUGCGACAAAAUCCAUUAUUUAUUGAUAAGGAAACAUCGUCAAGGUUCCGUUAAUUGUAAAAAGAAUUUGGAAUUUAGUUGAAGCAAUUGGAAGUUGGGGAGUUUAGUUGUAAGGAAUGCUAACUUCAAGCAUUGUAUGUAAAUUUUUCCCACCAAAUGAAUUUGAUGAAGACACAUCAUAACACUCCACCUCUUCAAUAUUUAUCUAGCAAAAUAAGAUUAGAAAGAGGGAAAAAUAAAUGAAACCCCAACUCUUCUCCAUGAAGCUCCAUCACCGCCAUCAUCAUCUCUUCCUCUCCUUGUGCGCGGUGGACGACGGCGGCCAUAACUCAACGAUCCGACAACCGUUUUCGAUGGUUCAAGCUCGGUUGGAAAGCCAACACAUAGAGGAAUAUGUGUUAUGUUUCAGGUGUAUAGUAUCGAAUGUAACAGACUUCUAUCCUUGUUCCAGAAGUUCGCGAGUACAGAAAGAAGGAACCAAUCAGUAGUGCUGCAGUAGUCGAGUCCUAGAGUGUAAUUAUGUUUUGUCAAACGGUUUUAAAUGUUUUGUUUAUACUCUGAUAUGUAUAAAGGCUUUAGACUGCGCUUUUAAACCGUUUACAUAUAUGUGAGAAACAGGGCUUUGCUUGAUAUGAGAUAUCGCUUUGUAAGACCCUGAUUUCUAAAGAUCGUCUUGUAUCGUUUAAAGAAGUUUUAUAAAAAAAAACAUUUUGAGAA
Molecule: long non-coding RNA, 6352 nt
Organism: Mercurialis annua (annual mercury)
Lineage: Eukaryota; Viridiplantae; Streptophyta; Magnoliopsida; Malpighiales; Euphorbiaceae
Exons: 4
Source: RefSeq, a predicted model, not a curated record